Molecule: transfer RNA, 86 nt
Filed under: Streptomyces noursei
Lineage: Bacteria; Bacillati; Actinomycetota; Actinomycetes; Kitasatosporales; Streptomycetaceae
Description: tRNA-Arg
Source: RNAcentral
GGCGGCCGUCGCCACCGGGGCGGCCGCGGCCGUCCGGGGGCCGCGGUCCGGCCCGGGGGCCUGGCGUUCGACGUGCCGGGCCAUCG